UACGGGGGGAGCAAGCGUUGUUCGGAUUUACUGGGCGUAAAGGGCGCGUAGGCGGCCAGCACAAGUCAGUUGUGAAAUCUCCGAGCCUAACUCGGAAAGGUCAACUGAUACUGUGCGGCUAGAGUGCAGAAGGGGCAACUGGAAUUCUUGGUGUAGCGGUGAAAUGCGUAGAUAUCAAGAGGAACACCUGCGGCGAAGGCGGGUUGCUGGGCUGACACUGACGCUGAGGCGCGAAAGCUAGGGGAGCGAACGGG
This 254-nucleotide ribosomal RNA is filed under the name uncultured bacterium. RNAcentral's name for it is "partial 16S ribosomal RNA". It matches the Rfam family "Bacterial small subunit ribosomal RNA", at positions 524 to 776 of the family's 1533-position model. The record is from RNAcentral.